This 69-nucleotide transfer RNA is filed under the name Hordeum vulgare. RNAcentral's name for it is "tRNA-OTHER". Lineage: Eukaryota; Viridiplantae; Streptophyta; Magnoliopsida; Poales; Poaceae. The record is from RNAcentral.
GAGCAGUAGCAGAGUGGUGUUGUUGCUGGUGGGGAACCAGGAGAUCUUGGGUUCGAAUCCCCCCAUUCA